RNAcentral lists this ribosomal RNA (253 nucleotides) under uncultured bacterium. RNAcentral's name for it is "partial 16S ribosomal RNA". It matches the Rfam family "Bacterial small subunit ribosomal RNA", at positions 524 to 776 of the family's 1533-position model. The record is from RNAcentral.
CACGUAGGGUGCGAGCGUUGUCCGGAAUUAUUGGGCGUAAAGAGCUCGUAGGCGGUGUGUCGCGUCGGCCGUGAAAACCUGCAGCUUAACUGUGGGCUUGCGGUCGAUACGGGCAUCACUGGAGUUCGGCAGGGGAGACUGGAAUUCCUGGUGUAGCGGUGAAAUGCGCAGAUAUCAGGAGGAACACCAGUGGCGAAGGCGACACCUGGCCUGUUCUUGACGCUGAGGCGCGAAAGCUAGGGGAGCAAACGGG